Molecule: ribosomal RNA, 773 nt
Filed under: uncultured bacterium
Lineage: Bacteria
Description: bacterial SSU rRNA
Rfam family: Bacterial small subunit ribosomal RNA
Source: RNAcentral
AACGAGAAAGUGGAGCAAUCCAUGAGUAAAGUGGCGCACGGGUGAGUAACACGUGACUAACCUACCCUUGAGUGGGGGAUAACCUAGGGAAACCUGGGCUAAUACCGCAUAAUACCUUCGGGUCAAAGGAGCAAUUCGCUUAAGGAGGGGGUCGCGGCCGAUUAGUUAGUUGGCGGGGUAAUGGCCCACCAAGACUAUGAUCGGUAUCCGGCCUGAGAGGGCGCACGGACACACUGGAACUGAAACACGGUCCAGACUCCUACGGGAGGCAGCAGUGGGGAAUUUUGCGCAAUGGGGGAAACCCUGACGCAGCAACGCCGCGUGGAGGAUGAAGUCCCUUGGGACGUAAACUCCUUUCGAUCGGGACGAUUAUGACGGUACCGAGAGAAGAAGCCCCGGCUAACUUCGUGCCAGCAGCCGCGGUAAUACGAGGGGGGCGAGCGUUGUUCGGAAUUAUUGGGCGUAAAGGGUGCGUAGGCGGUUUGGUAAGUCUUGUGUGAAAUCUUCGGGCUCAACUCGAAGUCUGCAUGAGAAACUGCCGGGCUUGAGUGUGGGAGAGGUGAGUGGAAUUCCCGGUGUAGCGGUGAAAUGCGUAGAUAUCGGGAGGAACACCUGUGGCGAAAGCGGCUCACUGGACCACAACUGACGCUGAGGCACGAAAGCUAGGGGAGCAAACAGGAUUAGAUACCCUGGUAGUCCUAGCCCUAAACGAUGAUCGCUUGGUGUGACGGGUACCCAAUCCCGCCGUGCCGAGGCUAACGCGUUAAGCGAUC